CGCGGCCUAUCAGCUUGUUGGUGAGGUAAUGGCUCACCAAGGCGAUGACGGGUAACUGGACUGAGAGGUCGAUCAGCCACAAGGGCACUGAGACACGGGCCCUACAUCUACGGAUGGCAGCAACCGGGAAUCUUCCGCAAUGGACGAAAGUCUGACGGAGCGACGCCGCGUGGAGGAUGACGGCCUUCGGGUUGUAAACUCCUUUUAUCGUACCCUUCACAGUACAUUGAAUAAGCCUUUACUAACUACGUGCCAGAAGUCUCGGUAAUACGUAGGAGGCAAGCGUUAUCCGGAUUAACUGGGCGUAAAGCGUGCGUAGGCGGUUUUGUAAGUCGUCUUUUAAAUCCUGUGGCUCAACCACAGUUUUGGAGUCGAUACUGCAUUACUUGAGGAUCGUUCGGGGUAUCGGAACAGUUGGUGUAGCGGUGAAAUGCGUUGAUAUCAACUGGAACACCGAAGGCGAAGGCAGAUACCUGGGAUUUUCCUGACGCUGAGGUACGAAAGCUAGGGUAGCGAAAGGGAUUAGAGACCCCUGUAGUCCUAGCCGUAAACGAUGGAUGCUAGCUUCGGGUGUAUGCCUGAGGCGUAAGCUAACGCGUUAAGCACCCCGCCUGGGGAGUACGG
Molecule: ribosomal RNA, 624 nt
Filed under: uncultured bacterium
Lineage: Bacteria
Description: bacterial SSU rRNA
Rfam family: Bacterial small subunit ribosomal RNA
Source: RNAcentral